GUUGACUAAGUAUCCCCUAAGUCUUAUGAGAAAUGCGUCUUAGGGUAAGGAAUGCGGCUUAGGGUGACUUUGUGUUUCCAAUGCCUGCGAGGAUGUGUUGCUUAUGUGACACUUGGAAUUGACUGAUCAUGAAUCCCGAGUACGCCUAGGUGGAGAAUAUUUUGGUUUUAAGAUGUUUAAACUAAAAUUGAUGAUAUUAUUUUUUUAUUUUUGAGUAGUAAAAGUUUUGAUGUCUAUUUUCUGAUUUUAUGAAACAAGGAUUAGAGGUUUCCAAGUUCUAAAGAUUUUCUAUAAUUCAUAUCUACUCUUUUAAGUGAUGUGUCUGUUAUUAUAUGUGGAAGAUAGAAGCAUGUUUUAUUCAAACUGUUGACAGCGAUAUUAAAGUUUUACUUGACCGAAAGGUAUUUUAGUAACUUUUUCGUUUUCAUACAUAUCUGGGUUCUUUUUGCACAUAUGUGAGUGGGCGAAAGAUUGUUCUUAAAUCAAAAAUCUUUUGUACGUUUUUCAGAGGAUUAGUUAGAGUUGAAGUUUUGGUUAGGGAAGUAUGAAAUAACUACAUAUGGCUUAAUCCCUGAGUAAGGGUACAUAGGCACCUAGAGUUACUAGGUGCAGCCACAAGAUCAAGUGUAUGAAAAUUUGUUCAGUUAAGUUAUUCUGGGAUUUGAUAACGUUUUCAUGUUAUUCUAAGAGUUGAGACCAGUUUCAGAUGGCAGAAUGAUUUAUUUGGUAUAAGAGGCUUGAGGCCAUUCAAAGUUAUUUAUUUGAUGCAUGCUGAACGAUUGUGGCUAUGAGUUGCAUUUUAUAUAGGUUAAAAUUUUGGGAAAUGAGUGAAUUAUAGGGGAGACUCUGCCGAAAUUUCGGUAAAAGUCAAACCGAAAAAGAAAUUUGAGUCUUAGUAGAAGGGCAAUUUGGUUAAGUGUGCCCAGCACCUGCCAAGUGUUGGACACGCAUAGGGUUCGACUCAGAUUUCAAAGUGGAAUUUGAGUCAGGUCCUGUCAGCUAGAGGUUCUCGUUUUUUUAUAUUUAAAAAUAGUACAGCCGGACGGCUAUACUCAGUUUUUUUAAUUUUUUUCUCAAAAGUAUAGCCGAAUAGCUAUAUUAUUUUACACAUGCCCCGAGGUUUUUUUUUUGUAAAUAGUAUAGCCCUGUGGCUACACUAGUUUACACGUGGCGCCGAUUUUUUUUUG
RNAcentral lists this long non-coding RNA (1187 nucleotides) under Prunus persica (peach). Its description in RNAcentral is "long non-coding RNA (PPER_LNC000277)". The record is from RNAcentral. Lineage: Eukaryota; Viridiplantae; Streptophyta; Magnoliopsida; Rosales; Rosaceae.